This 518-nucleotide unclassified non-coding RNA is filed under the name uncultured Glomeromycotina. RNAcentral describes it as "SSU rRNA". It matches the Rfam family "Eukaryotic small subunit ribosomal RNA", at positions 571 to 1092 of the family's 1831-position model. The record is from RNAcentral. Lineage: Eukaryota; Fungi; Glomeromycota.
CAGCGCGGUAAUUCCAGCUCCAAUAGCGUAUAUUAAAGUUGUUGCAGUUAAAAAGCUCGUAGUUGAACUUCGGGAUCAAUUAGUUGGUCAUGCCUUGGUAUGUACUGAUUUUAUUGGUUCUCACCUUCUAAAGAACUAUAAUGUCAUUUAUUUGAUGUUAUAGGGAAUUAGGACUGUUACCUUGAAAAAAUUAGAGUGUUUAAAGCAGGCUCACGCUUGAAUACAUUAGCAUGGAAUAAUGAAAUAGGACAUCGCAUUCUAUUUUGUUGGUUUCUAGGAUCGAUGUAAUGAUUAAUAGGGAUAGUUGGGGGCAUUAGUAUUCAAUUGUCAGAGGUGAAAUUCUUGGAUUUAUUGAAGACUAACUACUGCGAAAGCAUUUGCCAAGGAUGUUUUCAUUAAUCAAGAACGAAAGUUAGGGGAUCGAAGACGAUCAGAUACCGUCGUAGUCUUAACCAUAAACUAUGCCGACUAGGGAUCGGAUGAUGUUGAUUUUUUAAUGACUCAUUCGGCACCUUACG